UCUGCAGCCUGCGGCUCCGUGACUGGUUGGAGCGCAGGCUGCAGGGGAGGAAGGAGGCGGGAUCCCGGGCAUGCAGAGCCUCGCGCGAGUGGACCCGCUACCGUGGACUGGAGGUUAUUGUAAUAACUGGCGGUGGAGAGAGGAACAUGGUCUCCUCCUGUUCUCUGUGUGUCUGUCACUCAUCACAGCCUGUCUCCCAUCAGAACAGCAGUGUAAAACCACCAGGAUAGUGAAGUAUGAGAGAAACCAGAACCCAGGAGUCAGGACCUGCAGAUCAAUCAAUCAAAAUUAAAUGAGAACAGAGAGAAAGAAAGAGAAAGAGAUGCAAUACAGGAAUUAUCCUACGAUGGUGAGCAAGGUCCAGCGUGACAAGAAUAAUGCACUGCGUCAUACAGCAUUUAUCAUCGCAAGCUGGCUCCAUGAACAUGACAAUGGAUUAAUUGUACGCCAAUGGCCUCUACAGUCACAAGAACCCAAUUCAAUAGACCAAUCUUGGGAUGAGAUUGGAAGGGAGAGCCACAGAAUGAAUAUGUAGCCGACAAUUCUGCAGCAACUGCAUGAGACUUAGAAGUCAACAUGGACCCAAAUCUCUACAAGUGUGAAUAUAAAUAAGGAGCUGCUACUUCCAUUUUUUGGGGGGGUUUGGAGGAAAUUAAAGGUAAGUGACUGGGAUGGUGGAGAGAGACAACCAAUCACAAUCCACUAUCUCUUGUACCGGUGGCCUUCUAUUAUCAGGGUAAAUAUAAGCAAAUCCUGGAAGCUAAUGCCUUAGAGUCAAUUAAAUACUUUAAAUUGAAAAGAGGAUAUUUCAGCAAAACAACAAUCAAAAAUAUACCAGAUAAUCAACCAUGAAGUACUUACACAAAUUAAAGAUUAAGGUUUGAAAUGGCCUUCACAGUCCCCAGACUAGAAUAUUGUUGGAAAUCUGUAUUGGAUACAAAACGUGCAGUGCAUACAAGAAAGACUAACAAUAAUUCAGAACCAAAAUAGUUCUGCAAGGAAGAUUAGGGAAAAUAAUGUAAAUCAUGAUGUCCCCUACUUACAUUUCCGUUGCUGCUGAGCCAGUGAAUCUAAGCACCUAACACAUAGGUUAGUCUCAGUGGACCUUGGUGAAUUACAAUCAUCCUCAUGACAUACUGUACAGUAUGUGCUGAAUAUUAUAUUAUUGUACUGUUUCUGUUUUUUAAUUGAAAAA
Long non-coding RNA from Pseudophryne corroboree (corroboree frog), 1195 nucleotides. RefSeq lists it as uncharacterized. The record is from RefSeq and is a predicted model, not a curated record. The transcript has 4 exons. NCBI's taxonomy places the organism in Eukaryota, Metazoa, Chordata, Amphibia, Anura, Myobatrachidae.